AAUAAAUGCAUUUUAGAAUAUUUUGGUCAGUUUAGUCAGCUUUUUCAUUGAAUCAAAAGAAACACUGAAAGGAAGGAUAAUGGUACAGUCUCCAUGCUGUACUAAUAAUAGUAUGUAGAAAGGCUUUCCUCUGUGUACACAUAUCCUUUACAAGUAUAAUUGUGGCUGUAUUAUUUGUAUCCCCUUCUAAA
Etheostoma spectabile (orangethroat darter) is the source of this 191-nucleotide long non-coding RNA. RefSeq lists it as uncharacterized. The transcript has 3 exons. Lineage: Eukaryota; Metazoa; Chordata; Actinopteri; Perciformes; Percidae. The record is from RefSeq and is a predicted model, not a curated record.